RNAcentral lists this ribosomal RNA (445 nucleotides) under uncultured bacterium. RNAcentral describes it as "partial 16S ribosomal RNA". It matches the Rfam family "Bacterial small subunit ribosomal RNA", at positions 354 to 796 of the family's 1533-position model. The record is from RNAcentral.
GUGAGGAAUAUUGGACAAUGGGCGCAAGCCUGAUCCAGCCAUGCCGCGUGCAGGAAGACGCAUCUAUGGUGUGUAAACUGCUUUUGUACGGGAAGAAACACUCCCUCGUGAGGGAGCUUGACGGUACCGUAAGAAUAAGGAUCGGCUAACUCCGUGCCAGCAGCCGCGGUAAUACGGAGGAUCCAAGCGUUAUCCGGAAUCAUUGGGUUUAAAGGGUCCGUAGGCGGUUUAAUAAGUCAGUGGUGAAAACUCAUCGCUCAACGAUGGAACGGCCAUUGAUACUGUUAGACUUGAAUUACAAGGAAGUAACUAGAAUAUGUAGUGUAGCGGUGAAAUGCUUAGAUAUUACAUGGAAUACCAAUUGAGAAGGCAGGUUACUACUUGUGGAUUGACGCUGAUGGACGAAAGCGUGGGGAGCGAACAGGAUUAGAUACCCGAGUAGUCC